GGGGAAUUAGCUCAAAUGGUAGAGCGCUUGCUUAGCAUGCGAGAGUAGUGUGGGAUCGAUGCCCACAUUCUCCA
This 74-nucleotide transfer RNA is filed under the name Hippoglossus stenolepis (Pacific halibut). RNAcentral's name for it is "tRNA-Ala". It matches the Rfam family "tRNA". Rfam says of the family: Transfer RNA (tRNA) molecules are approximately 80 nucleotides in length. Their secondary structure includes four short double-helical elements and three loops (D, anti-codon, and T loops). Lineage: Eukaryota; Metazoa; Chordata; Actinopteri; Pleuronectiformes; Pleuronectidae. The record is from RNAcentral.